This 453-nucleotide long non-coding RNA is filed under the name Ananas comosus (pineapple). Its description in RNAcentral is "long non-coding RNA (ACOM_LNC041853)". Lineage: Eukaryota; Viridiplantae; Streptophyta; Magnoliopsida; Poales; Bromeliaceae. The record is from RNAcentral.
UAGGUUCUCACAUGUCCCGAGCUCAAUGCCGCUUGAUGACAUUAGCUCUCUAGAACACAUACCUUCUAAUGGCGAUUUUGUCAACUUUCAUGUCUCAAAUAAACUUAGGUUUAAAUGCAUGAAUCCAAUCUCAUUUACACUAUAGGAGCAUGAAACCACGUCUCAUAUAGAAUGCUAAAUGCAACUAUAGGCCUACCAAGCUACUCUCUACUACAUAGAGGUCCAAAAUUUUAUCAUAUGUAACAUCUGCAUUUUAAGCAUUCUAAAAAUCAUAAUAAAUACAUUUAAUAUGAAUAUGCAUGCUCUUUCAAUUAACGAUACUUAAUUAAGCACAAAUGAGAAUUUCUCAUUGUGUGGCUAGGUCAAACCCACCGAACCGUCGCGUAGGGCCUCGUUUCGCCGAACAAAGUUGUCCCCGAGUCCCAAAAUACCCUAAAAGCAUUGAGCGACAAG